Molecule: ribosomal RNA, 495 nt
Filed under: uncultured bacterium
Lineage: Bacteria
Description: partial 16S ribosomal RNA
Rfam family: Bacterial small subunit ribosomal RNA
Source: RNAcentral
GACGAACGCUGGCGGCGUGCCUAAUACAUGCAAGUCGAACGCUGAAGGAGGAGCUUGCUUCUCUGGAUGAGUUGCGAACGGGUGAGUAACGCGUAGGUAACCUGCCUGGUAGCGGGGGAUAACUAUUGGAAACGAUAGCUAAUACCGCAUAAUAGUAGAUGUCGCAUGACAUUUGCUUAAAAGGUGCAAUUGCAUCACUACCAGAUGGACCUGCGUUGUAUUAGCUAGUUGGUGAGGUAACGGCUCACCAAGGCAACGAUACAUAGCCGACCUGAGGGGGUGAUCGGCCACACUGGGACUGAGACACGGCCCAGACUCCUACGGGAGGCAGCAGUAGGGAAUCUUCGGCAAUGGACGGAAGUCUGACCGAGCAACGCCGCGUGAGUGAAGAAGGGUUUCGGAUCGUAAAGCUCUGUUGUAAGAGAAGAACGAGUGUGAGAGUGGAAAGUUCACACUGUGACGGUAGCUUACCAGAAAGGGACGGCUAACUACGUG